GCCCACUCCCCGCCCCAUCCCCCCCGCAUCCCGCCUUAGCCCCGAGCAGGCCCCCCCCCUCCUCCUCGCACCCGGCCCAGCCCCGUCCCUGCGGGGGUCCCUGUACCCACCAUUACACUGCGCCUCACUCGGCCGCGCCCCCCGGCCCUGCGCCCCCUCGGGACGGGCAGUCCGCGGGCGGCGCGGGCCACGUGCUGGGGUCUGUGCCGUCACUCAUUGUGCUGCAGCCAAUGGGCGGCGCCGGCGCCAGGCCGCCGCCCCGAGGUGCGCACCCCCACGCCCAGAGGGGCGCAGCAGCCGGGGGCCCAGGCACCGCCGGGGGAGGGAGCGCUGCGGCUAACGUCGGCUCCAGCGACCGCCAGAGGUACGCCCCAGACGGAGGGACGCCGCCUGCGGGGGGUGACGCCCGGAGGGACAGGGCUGCGGGCGGGGGCGGGCUGCGGGUGGGGCGGCGGCAGGGCUGUGCGGGCGCUGCCAGGCCGAGAGGGAAAUGACAGGCGACACGGUGAUCGUCCUCAAACUCAGGCCGGCGAGCACAUGGGGUGCGCGCGCAGUCGUCGACGGAGCAGCCCCCCCGCGGGCGCGACAGCCGAGCGGCGCUGCCCCCCCGCACUCCGAGACCGCGGGCCCAGGGGCGCUGGCCGCGAAUUCGGCACCGCGGGGCACACGCCCCAAGGCCUGCCUUACCCGGACGGGAGGACAAGCGGGGACGCCCAGCACUCAAGGCUGACGCUCAGAGGCACUCGGAGCUCCCCGAUCCUCAGCUCCCAGCGAGGCCAACCGUGGGUCCCAAUUCCGGGCUGCAGGGCCGCGCUCCUCCACGCCGGCCUCCCUUGCACGUGGGAAACGCAGAGAGCCUGGGAAUUCCACUGACGCUGGCAUCUGUGAGCCGCACAAUGAAACCCCGUGUCUGAUUUCCUGCCCUGAGCCCUUGAGGGAGAGGGAGUUAGAGGAUUUGGGGGGCUGCGGUGCAGGGGCGCUGCUGGUCCUACUGUGAGCCAAGCGGACAGGGAAGGACCCUGAGCUCGUCCCGCCUCGCCGCGCUGUCGGGGCGCCCCGGGCACCUCGCACACCCCGACCUCGCAGCCGUAGUGAGCACCACGGGCAGGGGAGCACCCGCCCGCCCCCGGCUCCCCGCGCCGGGGGGCCUGGAGCCUGCCGCCUGGGGGGUCCCUGCCGCCCGCCCGGGAGUCUCACCCCCCCAAGGGCAAGGGCGGAGCCGCCCCCAGGAUCCAUCCCGGCGGUCCGGCUCGGGGCCCACGCCGGUUCAGUCCCCAAUCAGGCGGCAGGAGUCAGCAUUCUAGAAACAGUCCCUCCGCGGAGGGAACUGCAGGCGAGCAGCAGGGUCCUCGGCCUGACGGCGGGGACUGCGGGGACGGGCGGCCCGGAGCCCCCCGGAGCCCCGGGGCUGUGGGAGGAACCUGAGGCCCAGGGCGAGGGCAGGAGGGGGGGCUGGCCUCCGAAGCGAGGGCCCUGGACUCGUGGGGGGACUGCUGUCGCCCGCGGGGAAGGAGGAAGCCACAUGACCCUCCAAGGGGGGACCCCGCGCAGGAGGGGGCUGCUGAGGCCCCGGCUUCCCGCCGCUGGGCCUGGCCUGGGCGCCCCACCUCUGCUGUACCCCCGCCCCCCGCUGCCAUUCCUGCUGCAAUGACUGUGGUUCUUAGGCCUCGUGUGCUUUCCCACACCUGCCUGGACGCUCCCCUGUGUUUGAAGGAAGCCCCGCACCCAGCCUGGGGCUGGGACGCCCCACCCCGACACCCAGGGGUGCGGCCCUGGCGACCGGCCGCCCAGCUGCGCCUGGCCUGGGCCCCUCGGAUGUCGGCUCUUCCCGUGACGCCUUGCCCUGGGUCCUCGGGUCCGUGUAGCUCAGGGGCUGGUGGCCACGUGCGGAGCGAGUGGCUUUCUACCCCAGUAGUGCAAACCGUGUGUAAAUACCUGUGAGCACCCUCCGUGAGCUCAGCAGGAUUCAAAGGUCAGUCCCUGAGGUGCAGCCCCCUACACACACGCGCAC
This 2011-nucleotide long non-coding RNA is filed under the name Canis lupus familiaris (dog). Its description in RNAcentral is "lncRNA (ENSCAFG00845027580.1)". Lineage: Eukaryota; Metazoa; Chordata; Mammalia; Carnivora; Canidae. The record is from RNAcentral.